This 72-nucleotide transfer RNA is filed under the name Trichophyton rubrum CBS 118892. RNAcentral describes it as "tRNA-His (GTG) (tRNA-His-GTG-3-1)". It matches the Rfam family "tRNA". Rfam says of the family: Transfer RNA (tRNA) molecules are approximately 80 nucleotides in length. Their secondary structure includes four short double-helical elements and three loops (D, anti-codon, and T loops). Further hydrogen bonds mediate the characteristic L-shaped molecular structure. tRNAs have two regions of fundamental functional importance: the anti-codon, which is responsible for specific mRNA codon recognition, and the 3' end, to which the tRNAs corresponding amino acid is attached (by aminoacyl-tRNA synthetases). tRNAs cope with the degeneracy of the genetic code in two manners: having more than one tRNA (with a specific anti-codon) for a particular amino acid; and 'wobble' base-pairing, i.e. permitting non-standard base-pairing at the 3rd anti-codon position. Lineage: Eukaryota; Fungi; Ascomycota; Eurotiomycetes; Onygenales; Arthrodermataceae. RNAcentral also lists the same sequence under 7 other names. The record is from RNAcentral.
GGUGUCGUAGUCUAAUGGUCAUGAUAACUCGUUGUGGCCGAGUUUGUCCCGGUUCGAUUCCGGGCGAUGCCA